GUUCGGUCCCGCGCGCGGUUAGGACAUCUUUUCAAGCCGAAGACACGGGUUCGAUUCCCGUAUGGGAUA
RNAcentral lists this transfer RNA (69 nucleotides) under Abies firma (momi fir). RNAcentral's name for it is "tRNA-Glu". Lineage: Eukaryota; Viridiplantae; Streptophyta; Pinopsida; Pinales; Pinaceae. The record is from RNAcentral.